This is an RNA transcript of Nicotiana attenuata, 3554 nucleotides long. RefSeq lists it as uncharacterized. The transcript has 3 exons. NCBI's taxonomy places the organism in Eukaryota, Viridiplantae, Streptophyta, Magnoliopsida, Solanales, Solanaceae. The record is from RefSeq and is a predicted model, not a curated record.
AAUAACAGAACUAAUUUCGUUUCCCUCUCCAGUUGUAUCGCUGCAUCGUUUCCCUCCCAAUUAGAAAACAAUUGAACUAAUUUCGUUUCCCUCCCCAGUUGAAUCGCUGCCAAAAAAAAGAAACUAUCUAGCUGCUGCGUCAAAAAAACCUAACACGCUGCUGCGUCAAAAAAACCUAACACGCUGCUGCGUCAACUCCACCGCGUCAACGGUAGUGCGAUUUACAGUGUGUAAACAGCAGUGGCCAUCUUCUUCCUAGAGACGUACCCUAGCAAAUAGAAGCAAUAGGGCCAAGCAAACUAUGCCUCACACAGGAGGAUCAAAAAGUAUUGCCACCUUGAUGAAUGAGCAGGUAAACCUGUGAAUACUACAAACUAUAAUAUUUUAACCUUUUUUUGUCAUGAAAACAUAUACGAUAUCAUUUUUAUUGUAUUAGGCUGUAAACGGGAUAGAGCCUACACGAGCAGAAAUUUUCCUAUUAACUCAUAAAAAACGUAAGGAUGGUAGGCCACUAGAUGAUGAUUCUGUAAAGAUAAUCGUAAGAUUUAUUCUUUCUUUAUUUUUUGGUUUCAUGACUCUGUCAAACAAUGUGCAUUUUUUCCUAUUUAUGAAUUCCAAAGUGGAUUUAUUGUGUAUUCUAUGGUCAGGAAAUGAUAAAUGAAAAGAUGAGCAAUAGUGAGAGAUCUACUAAGCAACCUCCUCGUAGUGUUGCUUGGAAAGGCGAUGUGUAUUCCCAGGUGUUGGGAAAUGAAAAAAAUGGGUAUGUUCGUGGUUUAGGGCUUGGUCCAACUCCUUCUGUUCUAUGGGGUAGUAGGUCUUCCUUAGGAAAUAUUGUUGCAGAUGAUUCUUCUAAUGAGGUUAUACAAAGGUUAGAACAACACAUAAUCGAGUUAAAGGAGAAACAAAAUAAUAAAAUGAAUAUUAUGAAACAAAAUCAGGAGAAUAUGCAAUCAGAAUUACUCCAAAUGAGAUAAUUAAUGCGCAAAUAUGCUCCUAAUGCAUCUAUGCCUCAAAGCAGCAAUGGCACCUUGGGUGAAGAGGUAACUCCAUUUAAUAAACUUUAGAUAUUUUAAUUGAAAUUCUAAUCAUAUAAAAGUAUUGUUAAUUAAUAUGCUAAUAUUUAUUAGAUCCCCGACGCCAAUAGUGGAUAUGAACGAGUACCACAAAUAUCAAGAAUGCCUAGUGUUGCUGAAAAUGCUCAACCUUCUCAUGGUACUGCUCAUCUUUGUCCUUCGUCGCUACUGUUUGAGUUUUCCUCCUUCGAUUUUUAUUAAUUUGUUGUUGUAUUUGGACUUUCCUUGGAUGCUUCUUGCUUUAGAUAAUUUUCACUGAUGUUGAUGUCGCAAAGGUUGUGAGUAACAGCUGCAAUCAAAUCUGUUCUACUGGUUGAUUUAUGAUUCGUGAAAUCUGGAACAUUUUGUUUGGUUGUGCAACUUGUAUGUCUCUGGAACAUUGAUGUUCAAAUAAUAGCUGAAGCUUGACCAGGUUCUUCGUUAUGUUAAGAUUUUAAUUCUUCGUUAUGCACGAUCAAAAGAAUGUAGUUGUUUCUGCUUAUAGAUGUUAGCGUAUUUGUUGUAGAUACAAAGGGCAGAGCUUGCUUAAGACGAUUCUGUUUCUAGACCAAAGUAAUCCUUGAGUAUUUGCUUCGAAGUUCUUCCAAAUCCAUUUUGCACUUGUUUCAUGUCCUUCAGUUUCGAAAUAUGAGACAUCAUAUCAGUGAUGGUAGAAGAAAAAUAUCACAGUAAUGGUUGAAGGAUAGGUUUAUAGAGAAAACAUCACAUCAAAAUUCAAAUUUUGAUUGGAUGCGUGAAUUUCUUAAUUCUUGAAAGUUACGACAGAUUUUUAGAAGAGGAACUGUGACAAAUAUUCUGGAACAUUUCAAAUUGAGAAGAGUAUCAGAUAAAUUGGAACGGAGUAACACUAACAUCUUUAGUCCUAAGUUUCACUUUGAAAAAUCACUUUAAGACCAAAGAAGGAAGAGGAUGAGGUGAAAUGUAAUAAGUUUGUUACCUUUUACGUGUAAAAAACUGUUCCAACCUUAGCUUGUGAGUAGCGACACUAUUUUCUUGACCCGUUUGAUUUAGCAAUUGAUCACCUAUUGCAUUUUGGAAGCCCAAAAUUACAACUGGACAUUGUUCCUAGUAAAUUUCUUUUGCAUUGAAGAUGCUGGGACUGGAAUGUUGAAUAAUUAUUGUAAUAGCAGUUAUAUCUCUUGAUCAUUGAUUGCUACAGACCAACUUCCUAUGCAGUUGCACAAGUGCAAAUACAUGGCUCUAUGCCAUCAUGUCUCAUAUUCCAGCAUGUCAGAAUAAUGUAAGUUAUCAACAGGUUUUAACCUACCUUAGAUAGAUAAAGAGCCUGGAGUUUCCUUCUUGACACUAGCACUACUAGAUACUUAAGAUUUGUGUUAUUCAUUUACAAAUGCUUAACUUGGUGCUUAACUUUACAAAUGCUUAAGUUAGCUCUGUUGUCUUUAUCUCUUUUCCUCGUGCUUGAAAUUUUUUUAACAGUAGCUCCUUGUGCCUAUUGAAAACAUAGUAUUAGGUUGUAUAGCUGAAUUCACAGCCUUGUACAACCUCGAGAGUGCUGUAGUAGUAGGUACAUCACCCUUAGCUGCUGGUUUUACUGAUUUAAAAAGAUCUGCACCUUCCUUAUGUUGUUGCAGAUUUCCAACAUGCUCCUUAACAACCUCUGUUUCCCCCAAAUUUUGAGUAACAGCUGUAGCAGCCAAAUUUUGAGUAACAGCUGCAAUCAAAUCUGUUCUAUUUGUUGAUUUAUGAUUCGUGAAAUCUGGAACAUUUUGUUUGGUUGUGUAACUUGUAUCUCUCUGGAACAUUGAUGUUCAAAUAAUAGCUGAAGCUUGACCAGGUUCUUCGUUAUGUUAAGAUUAUGAUUCUUCAUUAUGCACGAUCAAAAGAAUGCAGUUGUUUCUGCUUAUAGAUGUUAGCGUAUUUGUUGUAGAUACAAAGGGCAGAGCUUGCUUAAGACGAUUUUGUUUCUAGACCAAAGUAAUCCUUGAGUAUUUGCUUCGAAGUUCUUCCAAAUCCAUUUUGCACUUGUUUCAUGUCCUUCAGUUUCGAAAUUUCUCACUUUAUUUGGUCUACUCUUUUCAGGACAACAUCAAGUAAGGUAUCUGUUUCAACCAUUGAUGUAGGACUUGAUAGAUCUGAUCUUUUCUUGUCAAGCUGUUCGUAUAGAUUCAUGAUAUAGUUCUUUUGAGCAAAAAGCUUUUCCUCAGCAAGUCUGUACUCAAAUUCUUGAGACUUCCUCAAUGCCUGCAGUGUUUGACUGACAAAGUCAUACAGUUUGAUGUUCGAUAAUUUAGCAGUUGGAAGAUUUCAAAAUGAUGAGAAGUUGCGAAAAUCAUUUGAAGACCAUCAUUCUGGAUUAUUACUAUGAUGACAUUAGCUAUUUAGUCCAAACAAUAUAUUUUUAUGUUUUAAGUUACGAUGAUAUUAAUAUUUUUAAUUAGUACUUCCUUUUGUUUGUUAAGAUUUAAUGAGAUAUAUUACAUUUUUUUGAAUUAAUAUUAAUAUAUUUUAUUAUUUGGGUCA